CCUAGCCCCCCACCCACCCCGGCCACCACACACCACCCAGCAGGCACCAAUGAAUCGGUGACCUCAAGCUCCCACGAGGGAGAGCGCGGGAUGCUCCUCCGCCUCCCAUGUUGAUGUGCGGACGAGCGCGAUGGCCCCUACACACCACCAAGCACCUCCAAGAGCUGUAAUCAGCCUCCUUCUGCAACCCCACGUAGGUGCAACUCUGCAUCAAGGAUGCUCUAGGACCAUCUCCGUCACCGGCCUACACCACCGUCAAUUGGAUCUGCAGGAUGCAGCCGUGGCGGGCCCUUCCUAUUUUGACUUUCUGAUUUCUCUGUUCAUUGACUGCAAUAUUGUGUUCUUUCUUUUUUUUUUGUUCAGGACCUCAGGGGCCUUAAGACCUAAAGCAGUGAUAUUUGAGUUCAUGGGCUCAA
This is a long non-coding RNA of Panicum hallii, 416 nucleotides long. RefSeq lists it as uncharacterized. The transcript is spliced from 2 exons. The record is from RefSeq and is a predicted model, not a curated record. Lineage: Eukaryota; Viridiplantae; Streptophyta; Magnoliopsida; Poales; Poaceae.